RNAcentral lists this unclassified non-coding RNA (343 nucleotides) under Hevea brasiliensis (rubber tree). Lineage: Eukaryota; Viridiplantae; Streptophyta; Magnoliopsida; Malpighiales; Euphorbiaceae. The record is from RNAcentral.
GAAAGAUAAUAAUAAUAAAUUGAUUCCGGCUGAUUGGUCAGAAAUCUAGAUGGUUAUGUUUCCACUAGGUAAUAAUUAAUCGGACACUGCCUUAUGCAGAGGGCAAAGUUGAAGUAGCAACUUGUUUUAACUUGACAAUUGACUUUCCAAGCCAAACAAUAAAAUGUGAAAAUGGCAUCCUAAACUUUCUCAGAGAUAGACAGUAGAAACCACAAUGUAAACUCCAAAUUGCCCAACUGUUCUUAGUCCCAUGUUCAACAUCCAAAAAGAGAUUUGCGCUAUAAAUUAUUUGCUUUGAGUCCAUAUCCCUGUUGUUGCUUCCUCAGCAUAGAUUUGCUCUUUG